Molecule: ribosomal RNA, 253 nt
Filed under: uncultured bacterium
Lineage: Bacteria
Description: partial 16S ribosomal RNA
Rfam family: Bacterial small subunit ribosomal RNA
Source: RNAcentral
UACGUAGGGGGCAAGCGUUGUCCGGAUUUAUUGGGCGUAAAGAGCGUGUAGGCGGCCAGGUAGGUCAGCUGUGAAAACUCGAGGCUCAACCUCGAGCUGUCGGCUGAAACCAUCUGGCUAGAGUCCGGAAGAGGAGAAUGGAAUUCCCGGUGUAGCGGUGAAAUGCGCAGAUAUCGGGAAGAACACCCGUGGCGAAGGCAGCUCUCUGGGACGGUACUGACGCUGAGACGCGAAAGCGUGGGGAGCGAACAGG